AAAACUACCAAGUAAAAAAAACACGUAAUUCUCUUCUCCUUACUAUUGUUUUAUCUUGAAUCUCAUUAAUUUCUUUUCCAAACUUUCUCUAGGAACACACCUGUCCUGGUUAGCACAGGUGACCACAGCGUCUGCUUUUGACCUUCCCUGUUCCCCAUCAUCUAAACAGCUUUACCCAGUGCAUCUUCUGACAGUGCACUGGCUUUCAAUGGUGUUUGAUGGUGUUUGAUAAGAAUGGAAACCUCCACCCACUGCUUAACUAGCCUAGCCUACCCCUACAACCAGAGGAGUGAUAUUUAUAUAUACCUGGUAAAAUGUGAAGAAUUUGGAACCAGAAAGUGCUGGAGGGCUUUGAAAGCCAGGAGGCUAUGGCAACAGUGUGUGCACAGAACCAGCUCCUCCUUCAAUGCCUACAUGCUCCCAUCUUGUGCAGGGAGUAACUGCAAGAGGACAACAGGAUAAAGAACUCAUGUUAAUGCAGGUUUUACCCAAACAUUACUUGUUGCAUUGAAUUCUAGAAGAAGAAAGGUUAUUUCUAUUCCUUCAAUUGGUUCUGGAAAAGGGUAAAAUUUCAUGGUGAAGCUCUUCACCAUAUAACCAUAACCAUAACACCAUAUUAAAAUAUGACUUUCAGAGAAGCAUGUUCUUAAGGUUUUACCUUGAAUGGUAAGUAGAAUUUUUUUUUUUUUCAAAUAUAAGGGAAACGUAAAUUUCCAGAGAUAUUUUG
RNAcentral lists this long non-coding RNA (727 nucleotides) under Cyanistes caeruleus (blue tit). RNAcentral's name for it is "lncRNA (ENSCCEG00000015861.1)". Lineage: Eukaryota; Metazoa; Chordata; Aves; Passeriformes; Paridae. The record is from RNAcentral.